This 465-nucleotide ribosomal RNA is filed under the name uncultured bacterium. RNAcentral describes it as "partial 16S ribosomal RNA". It matches the Rfam family "Bacterial small subunit ribosomal RNA", at positions 28 to 507 of the family's 1533-position model. The record is from RNAcentral.
GACGAACGCUGGCGGCGUGCUUAACACACGCAAGUCGUACGGUAAGGCCCUUUCGGGGGUACACGAGUGGCGAACGGGUGAGUAACACGUGAGUAACCUGCCCACAACUUUGGGAUAACGCUAGGAAACUGGUGCUAAUACUGGAUAUGUGCUCCUGCUGCAUGGUGGGGGUUGGAAAGCUCCGGCGGUUGUGGAUGGACUCGCGGCCUAUCAGCUUGUUGGUGGGGUAGUGGCCUACCAAGGCGGCGACGGGUAGCCGGCCUGAGAGGGUGACCGGCCACAUUGGGACUGAGAUACGGCCCAGACUCCUACGGGAGGCAGCAGUGGGGAAUAUUGCACAAUGGGCGCAAGCCUGAUGCAGCAACGCCGCGUGCGGGAUGACGGCCUUCGGGUUGUAAACCGCUUUCAGCAGGGACGAAGCUUUUUGUGACGGUACCUGCAGAAGAAGCACCGGCUAACUACGUG